GGCGGUGGUUUAACUAAUCAGAGGAAUUUGCCCUAUAAUCGAUAAUCCCCGCUAUAUUUAACUUAAGUAAGAAGCCAGCCUGUAUNCCGCCGUCAGCAGGAAAUUUUUAGAGGAUAUUUCCGGAAGUCCAUGAAGGAGAAUGUCAGGUCAAGGUGCAGCUUAUGCUUAAGAAGAGGUGAAUUACAAUAAAAUAAUUUAAGACGAAAUAUUUAAGGAAGGUUAAAUAAGAAGGUGGAUU
This 238-nucleotide ribosomal RNA is filed under the name Drunella tuberculata. RNAcentral describes it as "partial 12S ribosomal RNA". The record is from RNAcentral. Lineage: Eukaryota; Metazoa; Arthropoda; Insecta; Ephemeroptera; Ephemerellidae.